CCUACGGGUGGCAGCAGUGGGGGAUAUUGCACAAUGGGGGAAACCCUGAUGCAGCGACGCCGCGUGGGUGAAGAAGCGCCUCGGCGCGUAAAGCCCUGUCAGCAGGGAAGAAAAUGACGGUACCUGAAGAAGAAGCACCGGCUAACUACGUGCCAGCAGCCGCGGUAAUACGGAGGGGGCAAGCGUUAUCCGGAUUUAGUGGGUGUAAAGGGGGCGCAGACGGCGAUGCAAGCCAGGAGGGAAAGCCCGGGGCCCAACCCCGGGACUGCUCGUGGAACUGCGUGGCUAGAGUGCAGGAGGGGCAGGCGGAAUGCCUGGUGUAGCGGUGAAAUGCGUAGAUAUCAGGAGGAACACCGGUGGCGAAGGCGGCCUGCUGGACUGCAACUGACGUUGAGGCCCGAAAGCGUGGGGAGCAAACAGGAUUAGAUACCCCAGUAGUC
This 440-nucleotide ribosomal RNA is filed under the name uncultured bacterium. Its description in RNAcentral is "partial 16S ribosomal RNA". It matches the Rfam family "Bacterial small subunit ribosomal RNA", at positions 338 to 795 of the family's 1533-position model. The record is from RNAcentral.